This 488-nucleotide ribosomal RNA is filed under the name uncultured Eubacteriales bacterium. Its description in RNAcentral is "bacterial SSU rRNA". It matches the Rfam family "Bacterial small subunit ribosomal RNA", at positions 8 to 507 of the family's 1533-position model. Lineage: Bacteria; Bacillati; Bacillota; Clostridia; Eubacteriales. The record is from RNAcentral.
AGAGUUUGAUCCUGGCUCAGGAUGAACGCUGGCGGCGUGCUUAACACAUGCAAGUCGAACGGACCCAUAUUGAAACCUGGUGAUAUAUGGGUUAGUGGCGGACGGGUGAGUAACGCGUGGGCAACCUGCCUUACACAGGGGGAUAACACUUAGAAAUAGGUGCUAAAACCGCAUAAGCGCACAGCUUCGCAUGAAGCGGUGUGAAAAACUCCGGUGGUGUAAGAUGGACCCGCGUCUGAUUAGCUUGUUGGCGGGGUAACGGCCCACCAAGGCGACGAUCAGUAGCCGGCCUGAGAGGGCGGACGGCCACAUUGGGACUGAGACACGGCCCAGACUCCUACGGGAGGCAGCAGUGGGGAAUAUUGCACAAUGGGGGAAACCCUGGUGCAGCGACGCCGCGUGAGUGAAGAAGUAAUUCGUUACGUAAAGCUCUAUCAGCAGGGAAGAAAAUGACGGUACCUGAGUAAGAAGCCCCGGCUAACUACGUG